RNAcentral lists this long non-coding RNA (388 nucleotides) under Physcomitrium patens. Its description in RNAcentral is "long non-coding RNA (PPAT_LNC006337)". The record is from RNAcentral. Lineage: Eukaryota; Viridiplantae; Streptophyta; Bryopsida; Funariales; Funariaceae.
AAAAGACUAUUACAUGACCUUAUACAUUAGAGUUACACAAUUAAUCAUAAUUUAAACCACUAAAAUACCAAGAAAUACUACAAUGCUUUCUUUCAAUAAUAAUACUCCUUCAUCAACUGAUAACAACAAUAAGCAAUCCUAUACUCUCAAAAAACCGCUCAAAAGACAUAAAUUCCAUCCAACACUAGAAAUAACAGACUUCACUCUAACCAAUCUGGAUUCACACAAUUUCUAUAAUCAUAGACUUCUUCUGUUGAAACACAUACAAAUCUCAAUAAACAACAACCAUAACCUUCUAUCUAUAAUGAAUCUUCCAAUAACUUUUCAUUUAAUUCAAUCACACAGUAUCCCAAUUACAUAAUCAACAACUCAUAAAUCAAUCUCUAAU